Mustela erminea (ermine) is the source of this 74-nucleotide small nucleolar RNA. RefSeq annotates it as small nucleolar RNA SNORD49. Lineage: Eukaryota; Metazoa; Chordata; Mammalia; Carnivora; Mustelidae. The transcript has a single exon. The record is from RefSeq and is a predicted model, not a curated record.
UGCUCUGAUGAAAUCAUCUAUAGGAAGUGCCGUCAGAAGCGACAAACUGGCCUCUUCCUACCUUUUAACUGAAG